CAUUGACGUCACAAGCUGAGAUGGCAGUAAAGAAGGUGGCGUUGCUCCAUAUUGUUGUAAAAGACACGAUGCUUCAGGUUUCAUGCACUGACAUUUGCGUUUGUCUUCUAGUCUGAGUGCUUUCAUGUGGGUGUACAUCACUUUGUUCCACUUUAAUGAUAAAACACUGGGCUUAAUGUGACUGAUUCCAGACUGAACUCAUGAGACUCUUUGGAAAACUGCCACAUUCCACCCACUUGAUCAAACGUCUGUCCGUAAAUAAUGGCUGGAUGUGGGCGUAACAUUUUGGAACACGACUGUGUUUGUAAAUAAUAUCCCUCUCUCAUACUGUCAUUUCACUGGAAACACAGCUAUAUUUAGAGCAGUUGAAUAUCUACUUAUUGGUUUACUGCACUUAUGCCAGACCUUAAGUAUGACUCUUAGAAAACAACUUCAAAACACAAGUUCUUCAAAACAGCUUUUGCCCGGCAUACAGUAAAACGGGUAAAAAAAUAUACCAUUGAAGGAGAGAUCUAUCUCAGUCAAAGCUUGUGUUUCUGUGCAUGUUUUUCUCCUGCAGGUUCUUCUACUAGCAGCACGUCAAUUUCUUAUUUGAAGAGCACCAUUUUAUAUUCAGUAGCCUCCACAGCUCCUGCAACAUCCAUCAGUCCAAGUGAAGGACCUCAGGCACUGAGGUCUACUCCAGCCAGCAGCGUGAUCCAGACAACACAAACAGCUCCACCAUUCACCCCCACUUACCCACAGACGUCUCAGGUCAUUCUGACCAGCAGUUCAGUCAGUUCAAAGGUCACUGGACCUGCUCCUUUGGAAGACCAGGAUGAACCUUCUGAACUGGAUGUGGGGGAUCAAGAGUCAGGGAAGGUUCCCCACCGCCCUGCAUCACCCCUGGACCCCCUGCUCGCUGCUCUGGUCACCAUUUUCAUUAUUUGCACUGCCAUGGUCUCAGUCGUCCUCUUCCUCAGGUUCCGUCAACGGAGUGAGCAUCCAGAAUUCCACCGGCUUCAAGACCUCCCUAUGGAUGAUCUCCUUGAAGACACGCCAUUGUCAAGAUACACCUAUUAGCAAGAGUGAAUUCCACUAUUUCAUUAUCUGAUUCCUCAGGCAACCAGUGUUGUUAUUGCUGCAAAUCCCCUGAAAGAUGUCUUUCACAACUGAUUUCUGAUUCUGGGUUUUUCUGGGCUUUGAUGCUAAAAUGUGGUUGUGUAAUAUUGGAAUAGAAAAUGUAGUUAUUUUACUAAAUGAUGAAACCCAUUCAAAUAAAAUAAGGGUUCCAGAAAAUAUAAUACAAUAAGAUAAUCAGUCUUAUUCUAUGUUAAAAACUUCACAGUUUCUUAAUAAACAGGUGUUUAGAAUUUCAAGAAAACAGAACGUCUCGGUUACGUAUGGUAAUCCUCGUUCCCUGAAGGAGGGAACGGAGACGUGACGUCGAGAGUGACCGACUGAAAGGGAACCAAUAUACCCUUACCCUAUUUUAUUCACCUUAAGAUUCUCUACAAAUGUAGAGAAACUAUAACAAACAUUUUUUCUACAAACAUGACACAUUUUAGUAACUUAGAGAGUUUGCUGGAGAUAAUUCACUUGUUUUCCCCUUUAUUAGACACUAUAUUUAUACUUAAAAGGUUAGUUCACCCAAAAAUGAAAAUUAGCCCAUAAAUUACUCGCCCUCAAGUCAUCCUAGGUGUUUAUGACUUUCUUCUUUCAGAUGAAUCCAGUCGGAGUUAUAUUAAAAAUUGUAUUUGAUCUUUUAAGCUGUUUAAUGCCACUCAGCGGGUGUUGCAUGCAUCAGUCCAAAAGAAGUGAAAUAAAAUGCGCCCAUCCAUAAAAAAACCUAAUUCGUCAUCCGCCCGGAACUGCUUCCAGUGUACAACAGUGAGCGCAAGCUACAUUAAAGUGAUUAUUACGUUAUGAAUAUGGAUAUUUUUCUUACAAAAACGCAUCGAUUCACUGCAGAAGGCCUUUGUUCACCCCCCGGAGCCGUGUGAGACACAUUUUUUUAUGGAUGGGUGCAUUUUAAUUAAGUGCUUUUGGAAUGAUGCAUGCAAUACCCGCUGAGUGCCAUUAAACAGCUUGAAAGAUCAAAGACCAUUUUUUAUAUAACUCCGACUGGAUUCGUCUGAAAGAAGAAAGUCAUAAACACCUAGGAUGACUUGAGGGUGAGUAAUUUAUGGGCUAAUUUUCAUUUUUGGGUGAACUAACCCUUUAAGUAAUUGCUCAAUAUUAUGAUGCUAUAAUUUGGUUCAUCCUAAACCUAAACUCUGAGGUAUGGUCACAAUUACCGUUGUUUGGCAAAUUUUCACAGGCAAAUUCCAGUACUUUCAAAAGGAGGUAAAGGUCGAAAGAUAUUGCUCUUUCACAGUUCAAGUUGUUCACACAAAUGCACAGCUUUGACCAAAAUCACUUUGCUAUUGACAGUCCAGACAACAGAUUUGUUUUUUGUCCACAAAAUUUUGCUAAUAUGACUGCACCUUAACUUUUAUAUAAAGGUUUUAUUCUAAAGGUCUACAAUUUCUUGAAUCUAUACAAGCAAAUAGUACUGCACUUUUUUUUCCUUUUUCUUUUUAGGAGCUUCGGCUUAUUUUCCAAGAGAGUUUUUGGAAAAACAGUUCCCUGGGUUUAGCAUAAAUGUCUCUGGACUUUUGCACUGUUAGAGCUAUGAAGUUGUAGUAAGGAAAAUGUUCAUGUUUAUGUGACUGUUCUAGAAUGAGAACAAAUUUGGAUUAAACUGAAUUGUGAUUUUGAUAUUUAUGACAUUUAAGUUGAUUGUCCAGAUCGAUAAUGAAGGUGUGUGAAAUAAUUUGAAAUGUAUUUUAGCAUAUUCACUUCUGUCUACGCUGGUAUUUGUGGUAAACCUAGUGCCUAAUGUAUUUUGUGCCAAAACUGAUUAGCGGUAAACAAACUGAUAAAUAUAUAUUGCACAGUUGUGUUGUUGAGAUGAACCUGU
Molecule: long non-coding RNA, 2941 nt
Filed under: Sinocyclocheilus grahami
Lineage: Eukaryota; Metazoa; Chordata; Actinopteri; Cypriniformes; Cyprinidae
Description: lncRNA (ENSSGRG00000054204.1)
Source: RNAcentral